RNAcentral lists this ribosomal RNA (253 nucleotides) under uncultured bacterium. Its description in RNAcentral is "partial 16S ribosomal RNA". It matches the Rfam family "Bacterial small subunit ribosomal RNA", at positions 524 to 776 of the family's 1533-position model. The record is from RNAcentral.
UACGUAGGGUGCGAGCGUUGUCCGGAAUUAUUGGGCGUAAAGAGCUUGUAGGCGGUUUGUCGCGUCUGCCGUGAAAAUCCGGGGCUCAACCCCGGACUUGCGGUGGGUACGGGCAGACUAGAGUGUGGUAGGGGAGACUGGAAUUCCUGGUGUAACGGUGAAAUGCGCAGAUAUCAGGAGGAACACCGAUGGCGAAGGCAGGUCUCUGGGCCACUACUGACGCUGAGAAGCGAAAGCGUGGGGAGCGAACAGG